RNAcentral lists this ribosomal RNA (270 nucleotides) under uncultured archaeon. RNAcentral describes it as "partial 16S ribosomal RNA". It matches the Rfam family "Archaeal small subunit ribosomal RNA", at positions 477 to 747 of the family's 1478-position model. The record is from RNAcentral.
CAGCACCUCAAGUGGUCAGGAUGAUUAUUGGGCCUAAAGCAUCCGUAGCCGGCGCUGUAAGUUUUCGGUUAAAUCUGUACGCUCAACGUACAGGCUGCCGGGAAUACUGCAGCGCUAGGGAGUGGGAGAGGUAGACGGUACUCGGUAGGAAGGGGUAAAAUCCUUUGAUCUAUUGAUGACCACCUGUGGCGAAGGCGGUCUACCAGAACACGUCCGACGGCGAGGGAUGAAAGCUGGGGGAGCAAACCGGAUUAGAUACCCGAGUAGUCC